This is an RNA transcript of Cervus elaphus (red deer), 3854 nucleotides long. It is a transcript of the gene named conserved oligomeric Golgi complex subunit 2-like, with no coding region annotated. The transcript is spliced from 7 exons. NCBI's taxonomy places the organism in Eukaryota, Metazoa, Chordata, Mammalia, Artiodactyla, Cervidae. The record is from RefSeq and is a predicted model, not a curated record.
GCAGCUGCCAUGUUGGCCAAAGUGGCGCUCUCUGCUGGGGCAACUGGCUCUGGCUGCGGCUGCCAGGUCGGUAAGCACAGGGUCUUCCUUCUUCCCCUCGCCCGCGGUUGGAGCUGAGGGGCGGCGUUCGGCGGGAUGGAGAAAAGUAGGAUGAACCUGCCCAAGGGGCCGGACACGCUGUGCUCUGACAAGGACGAGUUCAUGAAGGUGCGCCCGGGGGGCUGUGCUCCCCGAGCCGAGGCGGGUGGCCUGUUUUCCUUUCCCUCCGGGGCCUCCUCCAGCUGCUGGGCCGCGCACGCCCCGGAUCAGCCCCCGGCGGGACCUCGCUGCCUUCGCAGAAGACUUUGAUGUCGAUCAUGUUGUGUCUGACUGUCGGAAGCGAGUCCAGCUAGAAGCACUUAGAGAUGACCUGGAGCUCUACUAUAAGCUGCUUAAAACAGCCAUGGUUGAGCUCAUCAAGGACACACAGACUUUGUCAACCUGUCAACAAACCUGAGUCUUCGGUCAUCUGUCAGUGAAGGAAUUUGGGCAGUAGAUGAACGAAGGUCUAAACAAAAGAGGACACUAGGGGAAAAAAGCUCUGGAGGCCUGUACUCCGAAAGGUGCUAGAAACAAAGCCUGUGAGUGUGAUCCGGGACUCCAAAGCCCCUCACCCACCACCACCAUGGCAGGAAAAGGUGCCAAAGGGACGCUGGGUUAGCUCUAUGCUUCAUCCGUGCAAGCCCUCCAAGAAGUCACGUACUCCCUGGAGACUGCCACGUGGCUGGUGAGCUCCCCACACACCUGUUGCCCUGGUCACAACGGCUUAUCCUCCGGCUCAUCUGGGACUAAGGGCCUCUGCUGGCGCUCUUCUGCUCACUAGGAAGCCACCUGUCUUUGCCCCGACCCUCCUCGUCUGACCUGCCUGACUGCUGGAGCCUCAGUGCUGCGGCUUCUUCUUUCUCAGGCCUCCGUGCGGUUGCAGUUGGGACUUGUUCAUGUUGCUGGCUGGUUCUGGCAGGUGAAGCCCGAACAGGGACCCGAUUGGACUGCAUGAUCGCAGCCGCCCGAAACGCCCAACUCGCAGAACGUUCUCACCAAUUACAUCAUCAAAACAGCAAUACCCUCAGAUUACAAUAUAAAUACCCCGUGAAACCACCAGGCAAAUAGUUAACCGCUGCUCUGUUUGUCCUCGGUUUUUUUCUGUUCCUCACUAUGGUGUGAACCCCCGCGGCCUCCUUCCCAACCAUUUAUGGCAGAUGGAUGUUACUCACGUUCUCUCCUUUGGUAAAUUGAAAUAUGUUCAUGUUAAUAUAGAUACUUUUUCUGGAUAUAUUUUUGCCUCUUUACAAACAGGAGAAGCAGCUCGACAUUGUAUCGCACAUUGCCUUGCAGCUUUCUCUGUUAUGGGAACUCCAAAGACCAUCAAAAUGGACAGUGGACCUGGAUAUACUUCUGCCGCUUUUCUUAAUUUUCGCUCCCGUCUCUCCAUCUCUCUUAAAACAGGCAUCCCCUACAAUCCCCAAGGCCAAGGCAUCGUUGAACGAGCUCAUCAGACAUUAAAACAUCAGCUUUUGAAAUUCAAGAAGGGGGAGUUAUAUCCCCUCAUACCAUAUAAUUACUUACAUCAUGCCCUUUUUAUUCUUAAUUUUUUAAAUUUGGACUCUGAAGGCAAAACCGCAGCACAGCAAUUCUGGUCCCCAGCUGCUAUUAACAAGCCUCAUGUAAUUUGGAGAGAUCCAAUUACUAAUCAGUGGCAUGGCCCUGACCCUGUUUUGAUAUGGGGGCGGGGACAUGUUUGUGUUUUUCCACGGGAUGCCGAAGCACCGUGCUGGCUCCCGGAGAGGCUGGUACGCCAGACGGAGACAGUCGCUGACUGCUCGACUAGAGAGGCUGAGGAUACAAGAGAGGAAUGUUCUGCCAACAAAUCAACAACUACGUGAGUUCGUGGAGCGAGCAAGACACAUUGCUGCAGAUACAAUCAAUCCACAUAUUUCCCUAUCCUACCUGGUGCUUGCAUUGGCAUGUGCCGUUAUGAAUCAGGCCUUUCCCAGAGCUGAAGGAAAUGUUUUUCUUUCUUGGGCUCAUUCUUAUGCUGAUUUUCAUAAUACCUCUGCUUGUUGGGUAUGCACUGCUAUGCCUUUGUCAGUUGUAAAUGGUUUCCCAUGGUGGGUGUUACCGAUGGGUCAGGAAGAACUACCUGCGGUGUGUGAAUUUUUAGAACAAUAUAAGCAGAUUUACCUUAGCCUUAAUUCUCUUAAUGUUACAGCUUUGACCUGGUGUAAUUAGAAACCUUAUGACUCCUGGAUAAGAUUUAAUGCCAGCAAAAGUAUUAAGAUAAUCUCUGCUGCCUUUAAUCAGUACGUCAAUUCCUCCAGUAAAGGACAAGAUCAUUCCAGCUGAUAUUUUGGGGACUAUUAUCAGAUUUGGGAUGAAUACUUUUGGAUGACCCCAGAAAAAGGACAAUUACUGAAACAAGCGGACAUUUGCUGGGAACAACAAGAACAUCAACCCAGAUUUGGAGAAAGAGACUUAGGCAAACAUUUGCUGAAACAUAUGGGUAUCACCCCUAUUUCCUUAUGUGAUCACAUAAUUGAUGUCACCUUUUCUGUUAAAACAUCCACGCCAUGGCCAGAAUCUGAUUGGUUUUACAACCCUGGCAUCAGAUGGGUUGCUCCUAAUGGAACAAAAUGGAUCUGUGGUUCUAAUGUUUGGCGGUGGCUGCCUGUGGGAUGGGUAGGACGGUGCAGCCUUGGAUUUGUGUUUGCCCCUGGUCGCAUUAGUCAUAAGCCCAUCAAAAACCCUGCCAACCUUGCUUUUUUGAAAGCGCGAUGGUCUCAUCUGUAUUUCAUUGGUAUGAUUAUUUGGCAGCAGUCUUUGUUACCUCUGUUGGGACGGUCGACAUAAUGACCCAUGUAGAUGACUUAACUAAUUUUACUCAACAAGCCUUAUUAGACACAAAGAAGGCUAUUGAAGCUUUAAAUGAAGAACAGAAACAAAUGAGAAAGGCCGUGUUACAAAACCGAAUGGCCUUAGACAUUAUUACUGCUGCUCAAGGUGGGACCUGCGCUAUAAUAAAAGUAGAAUGUUGUGUGUAUAUCCCAGAUUUAUCUUCCAAUGUGUCUGAUGCUGUAAAUGAUCUUCAACAUCAAGUACUCUCUAUGCAGGAUUCCUCCCUUUCUUUUUGGGAACAAGUUAAAUCCUGGUUUGAGAGUGGUGGAAAAACCUGCUUAUGAUACUUGUUAUUGUACUUUGUUUUCUUUGUUGUGGACCAUGUUUUUUACAAUGUAUUAUGAAUUUAGUUACUGAAAGAAUCAUGAAGUUUUCCCGUAUUAUGAAAAAUUAACAUUAUUUCAUUUUUCUCGGGGAGUGAACGGGGAGGCUUGAUAUUUUAAUAAAUAAAAAAGGGGGAGAUGCGGGGAGCCGGCCUGGACAAGGCCCAAAUAGGCCCUGGGAAAGGCCUUGAAAGAGGCUAUUCCCUGUCCCGCCACCCCACGGUUUAGAAGUAAAAUAUUUACCUGGCCUCCUUUGUUAUUCCUCGAGAAAAACAUAGUGACCUCUUACCUAGUUUUCUGUUUUCUUGGAAUUUAUUCAAGCAUGUCUUUUCUGACCCUAGGGUUAAUUAAUAGGUAGCUUUUUAUCUUUUUUAUAAACAGACCUGUUUUUGCCUAUCUUAAGGAAUAUUAGGUAUAGGCGCCUAGUUUAUCUUGGAAUGUUAAUAACAAUAUCCCUAGCUUCUGCAAUCACUCAUGAUAAAGAAAAUUGUAUUAAUGUGGUUAAAACCAGGUGGCAUUCUUUAUGUAUGAUGUUUUCUGCUUGUAAAGGUAUGAAAGUAGCUGUUUCACUCAAUAAACUGCUGAGUUGUCUAAAGAGCA